This 451-nucleotide ribosomal RNA is filed under the name uncultured bacterium. Its description in RNAcentral is "bacterial SSU rRNA". It matches the Rfam family "Bacterial small subunit ribosomal RNA", at positions 28 to 476 of the family's 1533-position model. The record is from RNAcentral.
GAUGAACGCUGGCGGCGUGCUUAACACAUGCAAGUCGAACGAAGCACUCUAUUUGAUUUUCUUCGGAAAUGAAGAUUUUGUGACUGAGUGGCGGACGGGUGAGUAACGCGUGGGUAACCUGCCUCAUACAGGGGGAUAACAGUUGGAAACGACUGCUAAUACCGCAUAAGCGCACAGGAUCGCAUGAUCCGGUGUGAAAAACUCCGGUGGUAUGAGAUGGACCCGCGUCUGAUUAGCCAGUUGGCAGGGUAACGGCCUACCAAAGCGACGAUCAGUAGCCGACCUGAGAGGGUGACCGGCCACAUUGGGACUGAGACACGGCCCAAACUCCUACGGGAGGCAGCAGUGGGGAAUAUUGCACAAUGGGGGAAACCCUGAUGCAGCGACGCCGCGUGAGCGAAGAAGUAUUUCGGUAUGUAAAGCUCUAUCAGCAGGGAAGAAGAAUGACGGU